This 440-nucleotide ribosomal RNA is filed under the name uncultured bacterium. RNAcentral's name for it is "partial 16S ribosomal RNA". It matches the Rfam family "Bacterial small subunit ribosomal RNA", at positions 338 to 795 of the family's 1533-position model. The record is from RNAcentral.
CCUACGGGUGGCUGCAGUAGGGAAUCUUUCACAAUGGGCGAAAGCCUGAUGGAGCAACGCCGCGUGCAGGAUGAAGGCCUUCGGGUUGUAAACUGCUUUUAUAAGCGAGAAAUAUGAUGGUAACUUAUGUAUAAGGAUCGGCUAACUACGUGCCAGCAGCCGCGGUCAUACGUAGGAUCCGAGCAUUAUCCGGAGUGACUGGGUGUAAAGGGAGCGCAGGCGGCACGGCAAGCCUGAUGUGAAAGCCCGCGGCCCAACCGCGGGACUGCAUUGGGAACUACCGGGCUGGAGUGCCGGAGAGGUAGGCGGAAUUCGUAGUGUAGCGGUGAAAUGCGUAGAUAUUAGGAGGAACACCAGUGGCGAAGGCGGCCUACUGGACGGUGACUGACGCUGAGGCUCGAAAGCGUGGGGAGCAAACAGGAUUAGAUACCCGUGUAGUC